GCCCAGCCGUAAACUUUUACUUACACCCAAAUCGCCUGGGAACUACGAGCGAAGCUUAAAACCCAAGGGACUUGACGGUACCCCACAUCCACCUAGAGGAGCCUGUCCUAUAAUCGAUAAUCCACGUUCAACCUCACCAUUUCUAGCCCAUCAGCUUGUAUACCUCCGUCCUCAGCUUACCUCGUGAGUGAUAUCUAGUAAGCUUAAUGCCACUACGCCAACACGUCAGGUCAAGGUGCAGCAAAUGAAAUGGGAAGAGAUGGGCUACACUCUCUAAUCUAGAAGACACGAAAGACUACUCAUGAAACCUAGUCGGAAGGCGGAUUUAGAAGUAAAAAGAAAAUAGCAUAUUCUUUUUAACCCGGCACUGGGGUGUGUACACACCGCCCGUCACCCUCUUCACAAACCCAAAAAAGUACCUAACUACACUUAUUUAACCAGAAGAGGCAAGUCGUAACAUGGUAAGUAUACCGGAAGGUGUGCUUGGAAA
RNAcentral lists this ribosomal RNA (490 nucleotides) under Proceratophrys boiei (Bioe's frog). RNAcentral describes it as "partial small subunit ribosomal RNA". It matches the Rfam family "Bacterial small subunit ribosomal RNA", at positions 794 to 1522 of the family's 1533-position model. The record is from RNAcentral. Lineage: Eukaryota; Metazoa; Chordata; Amphibia; Anura; Alsodidae.